GAUAAACGCUGGCGGCGUGCCUAAUACAUGCAAGUCGAGCGAACGGACGAGAAGCUUGCUUCUCUGAUGUUAGCGGCGGACGGGUGAGUAACACGUGGAUAACCUACCUAUAAGACUGGGAUAACUUCGGGAAACCGGAGCUAAUACCGGAUAAUAUUUUGAACCGCAUGGUUCAAAAGUGAAAGACGGUCUUGCUGUCACUUAUAGAUGGAUCCGCGCUGCAUUAGCUAGUUGGUAAGGUAACGGCUUACCAAGGCAACGAUGCAUAGCCGACCUGAGAGGGUGAUCGGCCACACUGGAACUGAGACAUGGUCCAGACUCCUACGGGAGGCAGCAGUAGGGAAUCUUCCGCAAUGGGCGAAAGCCUGACGGAGCAACGCCGCGUGAGUGAUGAAGGUCUUCGGAUCGUAAAACUCUGUUAUUAGGGAAGAACAUAUGUGUAAGUAACUGUGCACAUCUUGACGGUACCUAAUCAGAAAGCCACGGCUAACUACGUGCCAGCAGCCGCGGUAAUACGUAGGUGGCAAGCGUUAUCCGGAAUUAUUGGGCGUAAAGCGCGCGUAGGCGGUUUUUUAAGUCUGAUGUGAAAGCCCACGGCUCAACCGUGGAGGGUCAUUGGAAACUGGAAAACUUGAGUGCAGAAGAGGAAAGUGGAAUUCCAUGUGUAGCGGUGAAAUGCGCAGAGAUAUGGAGGAACACCAGUGGCGAAGGCGACUUUCUGGUCUGUAACUGACGCUGAUGUGCGAAAGCGUGGGGAUCAAACAGGAUUAGAUACCCUGGUAGUCCACGCCGUAAACGAUGAGUGCUAAGUGCUAGGGGGUUUCCGCCCCUUAGUGCUGCAGCUAACGCAUUAAGCACUCCGCCUGGGGAGUACGACCGCAAGGUUGAAACUCAAAGGAAUUGACGGGGACCCGCACAAGCGGUGGAGCAUGUGGUUUAAUUCGAAGCAACGCGAAGAACCUUACCAAAUCUUGACAUCCUUUGACGACUCUAGAGAUAGAGCCUUCCCCUUCGGGGGACAAAGUGACAGGUGGUGCAUGGUUGUCGUCAGCUCGUGUCGUGAGAUGUUGGGUUAAGUCCCGCAACGAGCGCAACCCUUAAGCUUAGUUGCCAUCAUUAAGUUGGGCACUCUAAGUUGACUGCCGGUGACAAACCGGAGGAAGGUGGGGAUGACGUCAAAUCAUCAUGCCCCUUAUGAUUUGGGCUACACACGUGCUACAAUGGACAAUACAAAGGGCAGCGAAACCGCGAGGUCAAGCAAAUCCCAUAAAGUUGUUCUCAGUUCGGAUUGUAGUCUGCAACUCGACUACAUGAAGCUGGAAUCGCUAGUAAUCGUAGAUCAGCAUGCUACGGUGAAUACGUUCCCGGGUCU
Molecule: ribosomal RNA, 1372 nt
Filed under: uncultured bacterium
Lineage: Bacteria
Description: bacterial SSU rRNA
Rfam family: Bacterial small subunit ribosomal RNA
Source: RNAcentral